CGAGGGGAGUGAAAAAGAACCUGAAACCGUGUACGUACAAGCAGUGGGAGCACAGAGCAAUCUGUGUGACUGCGUACCUUUUGUAUAAUGGGUCAGCGACUUAUAUUCUGUAGCAAGGUUAACCGAAUAGGGGAGCCGAAGGGAAACCGAGUCUUAACUGGGCGUUAAGUUGCAGGGUAUAGACCCGAAACCCGGUGAUCUAGCCAUGGGCAGGUUGAAGGUUGGGUAACACUAACUGGAGGACCGAACCGACUAAUGUUGAAAAAUUAGCGGAUGACUUGUGGCUGGGGGUGAAAGGCCAAUCAAACCGGGAGAUAGCUGGUUCUCCCCGAAAGCUAUUUAGGUAGCGCCUCGUGAAUUCAUCUCCGGGGGUAGAGCACUGUUUCGGCAAGGGGGUCAUCCCGACUUACCAACCCGAUGCAAACUGCGAAUACCGGAGAAUGUUAUCACGGGAGACACACGGCGGGUGCUAACGUCCGUCGUGAAGAGGGAAACAACCCAGACCGCCAGCUAAGGUCCCAAAGUCAUGGUUAAGUGGGAAACGAUGUGGGAAGGCCCAGACAGCCAGGAUGUUGGCUUAGAAGCAGCCAUCAUUUAAAGAAAGCGUAAUAGCUCACUGGUCGAGUCGGCCUGCGCGGAAGAUGUAACGGGGCUAAACCAUGCAC
Molecule: ribosomal RNA, 665 nt
Filed under: Escherichia coli
Lineage: Bacteria; Pseudomonadati; Pseudomonadota; Gammaproteobacteria; Enterobacterales; Enterobacteriaceae
Description: partial 23S ribosomal RNA
Rfam family: Bacterial large subunit ribosomal RNA
Source: RNAcentral